UAGAUUUGUCUGCACGCGACAUAUUAUCCCUAAAACACUGCUUUUAAAAACAAGAUAAAGGAUCACACAAAACAUAUUUUAAUUCUAAUUUCAUAAUUUAAUUCUACGUCUUUUAACGUAAUAACAAACUGUCGAGGAGGGGAUUUUCAUGUAUUUGUUUUUGUUUCUCAGGCCAUCACAUUUUUCCCAUUUAUAUGUUCAUUAACCGGCUCGUUAAAGCUUUUGUCUGGCAAUAACACGCAACUGGUGUUUCGACCAACCACCACAGCGUAUUUUGAAUUCGCUUAGCGUUUUACACGUUAUGGCUUGUAGGUGUUUGGUGAAAGGAUCAUUGUAGCUUCUUUUUUGUGGCAGAAAGAAAACCGAGCGUUCACUAUCAGUUCAACGCCUACGAGACAGCAGUAUCUAACCUUGGCGAGCAACUGAAUUGAUUUACUACGUCAUUGACGUCACCGUAAAUAGUAUAAAGGUAAUAUAAUAAAUUAGUUUUUUUUUUGUGGUCCCUAAGGAUAUGAAAAUAAAUUCUAACUUAGAAAACGACAUUUAAACACGCCUGGAGCAUACAUCGAUCCUCUGCUUUGUUGUGGAAGGGGACGACUUACAAAGGAGUAGUAAAUUUUCCUGAGGCGCCGAGCAUUUUGUUAUAAAAAGCUAUAAAACGCA
This is a long non-coding RNA of Nematostella vectensis (starlet sea anemone), 663 nucleotides long. RefSeq lists it as uncharacterized. The record is from RefSeq and is a predicted model, not a curated record. The transcript is spliced from 2 exons. NCBI's taxonomy places the organism in Eukaryota, Metazoa, Cnidaria, Anthozoa, Actiniaria, Edwardsiidae.